This 43-nucleotide transfer RNA is filed under the name Caenispirillum salinarum AK4. It matches the Rfam family "tRNA", at positions 1 to 41 of the family's 71-position model. From Rfam's summary of the family: Transfer RNA (tRNA) molecules are approximately 80 nucleotides in length. Their secondary structure includes four short double-helical elements and three loops (D, anti-codon, and T loops). The record is from Rfam by way of RNAcentral. Lineage: Bacteria; Pseudomonadati; Pseudomonadota; Alphaproteobacteria; Rhodospirillales; Novispirillaceae.
GCGGGUGUAGCUCAGUUGGUUAGAGUGCCGGCCUGUCACGCCG